UGAGGUAGUAGGUUGUGUGGUUUCAGGGUAGUGAUUUUGCCCCAGUCAGAAGAUAACUAUACAACCUACUGCCUUCC
This 77-nucleotide microRNA precursor is filed under the name Sarcophilus harrisii (Tasmanian devil). Its description in RNAcentral is "Sha-Let-7-P2b2_pre stem-loop". It matches the Rfam family "let-7 microRNA precursor family", at positions 7 to 78 of the family's 84-position model. Rfam says of the family: This family represents the microRNAs (miRNA) let-7 and mir-98. let-7 was identified from a study of developmental timing in C. elegans, and was later shown to be part of a much larger class of non-coding RNAs termed miRNAs. The record is from RNAcentral. Lineage: Eukaryota; Metazoa; Chordata; Mammalia; Dasyuromorphia; Dasyuridae.